This 503-nucleotide ribosomal RNA is filed under the name uncultured bacterium. RNAcentral's name for it is "partial 16S ribosomal RNA". It matches the Rfam family "Bacterial small subunit ribosomal RNA", at positions 29 to 523 of the family's 1533-position model. The record is from RNAcentral.
AACAAACGCUGGCGGCGUGUUUAAGACAUGCAAGUCGCACGGGAUAAGACAUGUAGUAAUACUUGUUUUAUUUAGUGGCGCACGGGUGAGUAACACGUGAAUUACAUGCCCUAUAGUGGGGAAUAGCCCAGGGAAACUUGGAUUAAUACCCCAUGGUAUCGACAGUUUAAAGGUGGCCGCAAGGCUGUCGCUAUAGGAUUGGUUCGUGCCCUAUCAGGUUGUUGGUGAGGUAACGGCUCACCAAGGCAAUGACGGGUACCUGGUCUGAGAGGACGAUCAGGCACACUGGAACUGAGACACGGUCCAGACACCUACGGGUGGCAGCAGUCGAGAAUAAUUCACAAUGGGGGCAACCCUGAUGGUGCAACGCCGCGUGGAGGAUGACGGUCUUCGGAUUGUAAACUCCUGUCAUCUGGGAGAAAGACCUGACGGUAAAUAGCCGGCAGGGUUGAUAGUACCAGAAGAGGAAGGGACGGCUAACUUCGUGCCAGCCGCCGCGGUAA